CACCUUUCCCUCUAACGACCAUCUGCGGCAGCAAGAUACGACACAUGUUCGUAACCACCACCACGUUGCAAUGAACGAUACUCAUGUAGAUUUUCUCUUUGUGAGGAAGAUCGAGGAAAUAUUCCGGGUGUGGAUAAGACAUGCCUAGGUUGUUGAUCAACACACCGAUUUCCAAGCCGAACAUCUCUUUCUCGAUCACAUUGUAUGCGUCUAACCCGUCGGAAAGAGUUAACUCAAAGAUUGAUACCCCAAGAGAUUCCGCUAGGACCACAACAUUUCCAGCCAAAUGUGUCAAAUAUUUAUUUCUUGCAAAUCGACUACGUACACCUUUUCGGACAAGGUAAUACGCCAGGUCGGUUGCCAGCAUGCUAGGUGCUAGAGCAUCUACGCAUUUUCGCUGAUUCACUUCAACAGUGG
Molecule: non-coding RNA, 417 nt
Organism: Nomia melanderi (Alkali bee)
Lineage: Eukaryota; Metazoa; Arthropoda; Insecta; Hymenoptera; Halictidae
Source: RefSeq, a predicted model, not a curated record